This 768-nucleotide ribosomal RNA is filed under the name uncultured organism. RNAcentral's name for it is "bacterial SSU rRNA". It matches the Rfam family "Bacterial small subunit ribosomal RNA", at positions 114 to 885 of the family's 1533-position model. The record is from RNAcentral.
CACGUAUGCAACCUACCUUCAACUGGGGGAUAGCCUUCCGAAAGGGAGAUUAAUACCGCAUAAUAUAAUGAAACGGCAUCGUUUUAUUAUCAAACGUCAGGGUUGAAGAUGGGCAUGCGUCCGAUUAGCUAGUUGGUGUGGUAACGGCACACCAAGGCGACGAUCGGUAGGGGAUCUGAGAGGAUGACCCCCCACACUGGUACUGAGACACGGACCAGACUCCUACGGGAGGCAGCAGUAAGGAAUAUUGGUCAAUGGACGAAAGUCUGAACCAGCCAUGCCGCGUGCAGGAAGACGGUCCUCUGGAUUGUAAACUGCUUUUGUUAGGGAAGAAACCCUCGGAUGCGUCCGAGGCUGACGGUACCUAAAGAAUAAGGAUCGGCUAACUCCGUGCCAGCAGCCGCGGUAAUACGGAGGAUCCAAGCGUUAUCCGGAUUUAUUGGGUUUAAAGGGUGCGUAGGCGGCGUUGUAAGUCAGUGGUGAAAGUUUGCAGCUUAACUGUAAAAUUGCCAUUGAUACUGCAGUGCUUGAGUACAGAUGAGGUGGGCGGAAUGUGUCAUGUAGCGGUGAAAUGCAUAGAUAUGACACAGAACACCGAUUGCGAAGGCAGCUCACUAAACUGUAACUGACGCUGANGCACGAAAGCGUGGGGAUCAAACAGGAUUAGAUACCCUGGUAGUCCACGCCCUAAACGAUGAUUACUCGAUGUUAGCGAUAUACAGUUAGCGUCAAAGCGAAAGCGUUAAGUAAUCCACCUGGGGAGUACGC